GCCAAAAGACCUUAAACCAUUUUUAUAAUCUUGUAUUUAUAUGAGUGCCAUUAAAAAUUAUUUUUGGAUUAGAAAAACUAAUAUAGUUCAGUUUCCCAAUCUCGUUUUAUCUUCUCGACAAUCUGGUUCUGCCGUUCUGUUCUCGUUGGAUUGGGAGUGGUAGUGACUUGUUAUUUGUUCCGGUUGCUUUCAAGGUUGAUCUGAAAAGUUUUGUUCUUGGAAUUUGUUGGCUUUGCGUCGGUGCUGCCCCAAAAAUUCUCUCCCCUUCUCCAACGGCGAUCAAUCUCUGUCCGAUCUCUUUCUUUCUUCUGCUCUACGAACCUUUAGAAUCAUGAAUAGUAUGAGGUUAUCGUUCUUGGCACCGGUCUCAAAGGGUGUAUCCUCAGCGGUUUCCUUUCCGUCGAUGAUGUCAAGAUGAGCUCAGAACCAACUUCAACACUGGCAGAACAAAGAGCUGCGAAUGGAGAAUUUCUCAGCUUCAAAACAUUUCUAGGAUGCUUGGCAAUAAGGAGAAUUGCAUCACAUAAACUUUGUAUCAAACAUUUCUAGGAUGCUUGGCAACCGUUUGUAUCAAACAUUUCACAGGAUGUUUGGGGUCUUUAGCCAUAAACCAUGAACGUACCUGCUAUUAUCCAUUUGCUAAAGACCGAUUGUACUAACUGUAGCUUUGUAUCAAGAUCUUUCUAAGCCUGAGAUUGAAGCUUUUCUUGUCUACAUUCUCCAGUGAAUUAUAUAGUCUUACAGUAUA
Long non-coding RNA from Camelina sativa (false flax), 748 nucleotides. RefSeq lists it as uncharacterized. NCBI's taxonomy places the organism in Eukaryota, Viridiplantae, Streptophyta, Magnoliopsida, Brassicales, Brassicaceae. The record is from RefSeq and is a predicted model, not a curated record.